Molecule: unclassified non-coding RNA, 358 nt
Filed under: soil metagenome
Description: partial contains 5.8S ribosomal RNA, internal transcribed spacer 2, and large subunit ribosomal RNA
Rfam family: 5.8S ribosomal RNA (bases 1-120)
Source: RNAcentral
GAUGAAGAACGCAGCGAAAUGCGAUAAGUAAUGUGAAUUGCAGAAUUCAGUGAAUCAUCGAAUCUUUGAACGCACAUUGCGCCCGCCAGUAUUCUGGCGGGCAUGCCUGUCCGAGCGUCAUUUCAACCCUCGAACCCCUCCGGGGGGUCGGCGUUGGGGACCUCGGGAGCCCCUAAGACGGGAUCCCGGCCCCGAAAUACAGUGGCGGUCUCGCCGCAGCCUCUCCUGCGCAGUAGUUUGCACAACUCGCACCGGGAGCGCGGCGCGUCCACGUCCGUAAAACACCCAAAUUCUGAAAUGUUGACCUCGGAUCAGGUAGGAAUACCCGCUGAACUUAAGCAUAUCAAUAAGCGGAGGA